This 351-nucleotide ribosomal RNA is filed under the name uncultured bacterium. RNAcentral's name for it is "bacterial SSU rRNA". It matches the Rfam family "Bacterial small subunit ribosomal RNA", at positions 917 to 1269 of the family's 1533-position model. The record is from RNAcentral.
GGGCCCGCACAAGCGGUGGAGUAUGUGGUUUAAUUCGAUGCAACGCGAAGAACCUUACCAGGGUUUGACAUCCUGCGAAUCUCUUGGAAACAGGAGAGUGCCUUCGGGAACGCAGUGACAGGUGGUGCAUGGCUGUCGUCAGCUCGUGUCGUGAGAUGUUGGGUUAAGUCCCGCAACGAGCGCAACCCACGUCUUUAGUUGCCAGCAUUUAGUUGGGCACUCUAGAGAGACUGCCGGUGAUAAACCGGAGGAAGGUGUGGAUGACGUCAAGUCAUCAUGCCCCUUACAUCCUGGGCUACACACGUACUACAAUGCUACGGACAAUGAGAUGCAAAUCUGUGAAGACUAGCU